RNAcentral lists this ribosomal RNA (507 nucleotides) under uncultured bacterium. Its description in RNAcentral is "bacterial SSU rRNA". It matches the Rfam family "Bacterial small subunit ribosomal RNA", at positions 899 to 1397 of the family's 1533-position model. The record is from RNAcentral.
ACUCAAAGGAAUAGACGGGGGCCCGCACAAGCGGUGGAGCACGUGGUUUAAUUCGAUGCAAACCGAAGAACCUUACCUGGGUUUGACAUGUUAGUGGUAGAAGGAUGAAAGUUUGACGACUUAACAAUAGGUUAAGAGCUAACACAGGUGCUGCAUGGCUGUCGUCAGCUCGUGUCGUGAGAUGUUGGGUCAAGUCCCGCAACGAGCGCAACCCCUGCAUUUAGUUGCUACCGAGAGAGACGAGCACUCUAGAUGGACUGCUGCCGAUAAGGUAGAGGAAGGUGGGGACGACGUCAAGUCAUCAUGGCCCUUAUGUCCAGGGCGACACACGUGCUACAAUGGCCGGUACAGAGGGAAGCGAGUCCGAGAGGGUAAGCGGAUCCCAUAAAGCCGGUCGCAGUUCGGAUUGAGGUCUGCAACUCGACCUCAUGAAGUUGGAAUCGCUAGUAAUCGCAGAUCAGCCAAGCUGCGGUGAAUACGUUCCCGGGCCUUGUACACACCGCCCGU